AGAAUUGAACUAGCGCCCCGGCAACCCAACUACUGCUUUAUUUAAUGCUUUAGCCUAUUAUUAAGUAAUUGAACUCCAGGUGCGAUACAGCACCAGGUUAGUGACUUUUCUCCAGUAGACCCUUCUGGCAAAUGACCUAGGAAGAGAUCCAAGAGAUGAGAUGCGCCUGAGGUAGUAACUUGUCUAGUUGCUUGUCUGGCUUUCUACUUGGCCCCUAGUUGCAUCUGUGUUUGUUGCGCAAGAGGUGAGAUGAGAUAAUAGAAUUCUCAAAAAAUAGAAUAUAUGUGAUAGAACUGAUUGAACUCGAUUCUUCACCCCCGGCCAUCUAUCUCUCUUAUUAACCCCCUAAUUAUGAUCCAGUUGAGGAAUAUGCUUAGCGCAACCCUUCCUUGCCAGCUGUAUUCUGUAUUUCAUGUUUCAAGAAGUAUUUGUUUACUUACAGAGUAUGAUGAGAUGGAUAACCAACUGUAGUUUCUUGUAUGCUCGGAUGCUCUUCUAUAUUAUAUUAUAUUAUAGGAGACUAGAUGAUUGUAUUAUAGGAGCCUACCAGAGUGAGGUUAGUUUACAGAGCCAUGGAGGGAUAUCUAAGUUACUUUCGAGGAUAGGUCGAUGAGCCGGAUUAAGGUAUCGUUGCCCGAGGUAUAUGGAUAAGAAGUAGAAUCUCUUUAAUCCCAACAAGCGGACAAGAGGAUUUAGCUAUAGGUAUCAUAGACAGAAGUCACCCUAAUACAGUACAGGACUCCUGAAGACAGUACAGUUAUAGUAGUUGGCAAAGGAUCUGAACAAGUGUAGUAUGCCAGCGGAAGGAGUUAAAGAGUUACCGAAGCUGUUGAAGCAGUUUGUGAUCCAGGGUAAGAAACAUCUGAAUGAGCGGGGCAUGAUAGGCAUUGUCAACUGGUAACAUCUCUUUGUUCUUCACCCUUGCCGACCCAUCCUCUGUCACCAAAACCAUUCUUAUCAGAGUAGCUUUCCUAUUAUACUAAGCUUGUUCCAGAUGGCCGAGUAAACACCGAGUAUUAGGCUUGAAACACCACCAAGUCAGUAAGUGACCAGUAAGUAAGAAAGAAACUCGCCAAUAAACCUAGUGCUCCGGCUCGCAAACGAGUGACUCAUCAUUUCACCCCGCUGGCUGGCUCUGCUGGGCUUGUUUCAUUCAGUUACUCAGGUAGUUGUUG
RNAcentral lists this long non-coding RNA (1175 nucleotides) under Musa acuminata (dwarf banana). RNAcentral's name for it is "long non-coding RNA (MACU_LNC008114)". The record is from RNAcentral. Lineage: Eukaryota; Viridiplantae; Streptophyta; Magnoliopsida; Zingiberales; Musaceae.